GACGAACGCUGGCGGCGUGCUUAACACAUGCAAGUCGAACGGAAAGGCCCUGCUUUUGUGGGGUGCUCGAGUGGCGAACGGGCGAGUAACACGUGAGUAACCUGCCCUUGACUUUGGGAUAACUUCAGGAAACUGGGGCUAAUACCGGAUAGGAGCUCCUGCUGCAUGGUGGGGGUUGGAAAGUUUCGGCGGUUGGGGAUGGACUCGCGGCUUAUCAGCUUGUUGGUGGGGUAGUGGCUUACCAAGGCUUUGACGGGUAGCCGGCCUGAGAGGGUGACCGGCCACAUUGGGACUGAGAUACGGCCCAGACUCCUACGGGAGGCAGCAGUGGGGAAUAUUGCACAAUGGGCGGAAGCCUGAUGCAGCAACGCCGCGUGCGGGAUGACGGCCUUCGGGUUGUAAACCGCUUUCGCCUGCGACGAAGCGUGAGUGACGGUAAUGGGUAAAGAAGCACCGGCUAACUACGUG
Molecule: ribosomal RNA, 468 nt
Filed under: uncultured bacterium
Lineage: Bacteria
Description: partial 16S ribosomal RNA
Rfam family: Bacterial small subunit ribosomal RNA
Source: RNAcentral